Molecule: ribosomal RNA, 336 nt
Filed under: Triticum aestivum (bread wheat)
Lineage: Eukaryota; Viridiplantae; Streptophyta; Magnoliopsida; Poales; Poaceae
Description: partial small subunit ribosomal RNA
Source: RNAcentral
AUGGCAACUUAUCUCCUCGCCGCUUUGACACUCACUCACCAUCUCACCCAAGCGUGGGAUUGUUGCCUACCAAUUUGGACCUUCGUCAUAUGUCCCUCUACAUCCCUUUUGAUAUGUAUGUUUCGUGUCUCAGCUCAAGAGAUGUUUUAUAUCUCACCCCAAGAGUUGAUCUUGAGUUGCCUGAUCUUCGAGAAGAUCGAUUCAUGUAGAGUUCCUGUCCAUCGUCAUCGUGUUGGAUGCAGAUCUCGAAAGAAAGGAUGCCAAGAUCGAUCUGAAGCAAUGGAUCAUGAAGAUCGUGUUAGUUUGUGCCCUCUGUCUUCUUACCUCACGUCUUGA